CUACGGGAGGCAGCAGUGAGGAAUAUUGGUCAAUGGGCGCAAGCCUGAACCAGCCAUGCCGCGUGCAGGAUGACGGUCCUAUGGAUUGUAAACUGCUUUUGUACAGGAAGAAACACUGGUUCGUGAACCAGCUUGACGGUACUGUAAGAAUAAGGAUCGGCUAACUCCGUGCCAGCAGCCGCGGUAAUACGGAGGAUCCAAGCGUUAUCCGGAAUCAUUGGGUUUAAAGGGUCCGUAGGCGGUCAGAUAAGUCAGUGGUGAAAGCCCAUCGCUCAACGGUGGAACGGCCAUUGAUACUGUCUGACUUGAAUUAUUAGGAAGUAACUAGAAUAUGUAGUGUAGCGGUGAAAUGCUUAGAGAUUACAUGGAAUACCAAUUGCGAAGGCAGGUUACUACUAAUGGAUUGACGCUGAUGGACGAAAGCGUGGGUACGCGAAGCAGGAUUAGAUAUCCCUGGUAGUCCCCCGCCGUAAAUCGAUGGAUAGCUAGCUGUUGGG
RNAcentral lists this ribosomal RNA (497 nucleotides) under uncultured bacterium. It matches the Rfam family "Bacterial small subunit ribosomal RNA", at positions 339 to 827 of the family's 1533-position model. The record is from RNAcentral.